AUUUGAAAUCAGGUGCCUUUGUGAGCUCGCUCUUCUACAUAGAGCUGCAUCUGGAGAGAGAAACAAGCAACAGUCCUGUUGGUGCACAGUACUUUUGCCCAGGUCCCUGGUCUGAGCUCACCUUCUCCAGCAGCGGCUUUACACAGUGCAGCGUGUCCUGGAUGUACUGGUUCAGCUCUGGGUGGCAGGACAUCUGCAGCAAACACAGGGAACAGUCAGAGUUGUGUUUGAUAUGAGCCAGGAAAAUGCUAAAAGGGGAAGAUUUAAACAGAAGCACCAGUGUGUACAAGGCAUUCAAGUCAUGCUUCAAAUAGUGCUGAAAAAGGUUGAGUUGCCCAUUCUAACCAGCAAUUCUUUCAGCUGAGGCAGAUCACUGCACCAACACAGUUGUGUAUCUGGAAUGUAUUCCCACAACAGCAUAUUGGGAAUAGCAUAUUCCAACCAUCUCUGCUUCCUAGGAAACUGUUUUUUCAGGGAACUGUGCUUUCCUGUUACCUCACUGCACAGAGCUGGGGCAGCCUUCUACUGCUGUUAUGUGACCUGCUUGUUCCAUGAGCACCUGCUGUAUCCUCAGCUGUGGGGCUGCUCUCUGUUAUCACAAGAAUUAAGCUCUCCUCAAAAAUAAGUCUGUACAUUAAACAAUCACUUCCAGAGUGUAAGUUU
Molecule: long non-coding RNA, 663 nt
Organism: Catharus ustulatus (Swainson's thrush)
Lineage: Eukaryota; Metazoa; Chordata; Aves; Passeriformes; Turdidae
Exons: 2
Source: RefSeq, a predicted model, not a curated record